UGAGGAAUCUUGCCCAAUGGGGGAAACCCUGAGGCAGCGACACCGCGUGCGGGAUGAAGGCCUUCGGGUCGUAAACCGCUUUUCUGGGGGACGAGUAAGGACGGUACUCCAGGAAUAAGUCCCGGCUAACUACGUGCCAGCAGCCGCGGUAAAACGUAGGGGGCGAGCGUUAUCCGGAAUCACUGGGCGUAAAGGGCGUCUAGGCGGCAGCCUAAGUCCCGUGUGAAAGCUCCCGGCUCAACUGGGAGAGGGCAUGGGAGACUGGGCAGCUAGAGACUCGGAGGGGGGUGUGGAAUUCCCGGUGGAGUGGUGGAAUGCGUUGAGAUCGGGAGGAACACCAGUAGCGAAGGCGGCACCCUGCCGAGAUCUGACGCUGAAGCGCGAGAGCGUGGGGAGCGAACGG
RNAcentral lists this ribosomal RNA (403 nucleotides) under uncultured bacterium. RNAcentral describes it as "bacterial SSU rRNA". It matches the Rfam family "Bacterial small subunit ribosomal RNA", at positions 355 to 775 of the family's 1533-position model. The record is from RNAcentral.